UACGGAGGGGGCUAGCGUUGUUCGGAAUUACUGGGCGUAAAGCGCACGUAGGCGGAUUGGUCAGUCAGAGGUGAAAUCCCAGGGCUCAACCCUGGAACUGCCUUUGAUACUGGAAGUCUUGAGUCCGAGAGAGGUGAGUGGAACUCCGAGUGUAGAGGUGAAAUUCGUAGAUAUUCGGAAGAACACCAGUGGCGAAGGCGGCUCACUGGCUCGGUACUGACGCUGAGGUGCGAAAGCGUGGGGAGCAAACAGGAUUAGAUACCCGGUGUAGUCC
RNAcentral lists this ribosomal RNA (274 nucleotides) under uncultured bacterium. RNAcentral's name for it is "partial 16S ribosomal RNA". It matches the Rfam family "Bacterial small subunit ribosomal RNA", at positions 524 to 796 of the family's 1533-position model. The record is from RNAcentral.